Molecule: long non-coding RNA, 1279 nt
Filed under: Homo sapiens (human)
Lineage: Eukaryota; Metazoa; Chordata; Mammalia; Primates; Hominidae
Description: PREDICTED lncRNA (TCONS_00151087)
Source: RNAcentral
AGGUGGUAAAUCCUGGCCAAGGCUCCUCGAGCCAGGCCGGCUGGCAGUGCUGCAUCGUGCUGAAGGCGCUGAGGUUGCAGCGGAUGCAUUCCGGGCCAGUGAUAUGAUGUGGACAGGAAAAGUCUUUUGUUCUGGGAAAAUGGAGGACUGAAACCUCUUCAUGUCUUUUUCCCAGGCCCUGAUUUAGGAAGACCAAAACAGGGACUUCUACAGUAGCAGCUUAAUCAGCAGAUGCUGGGUGGUCGCCUCUGCACAUGGCCUGGGGGGCGGGGCGCCUUACCGCGUCACACUGGGUGGAUGGGCCUGUGUGUGGCCUCUCUCCAGCUGUGGCUGACAGUACUCACUCAGCCCAGGCUUCCAGGCCCUCCUGGGCCCUCCUAUCCACUGAAGGAAAUGGGAGAUGAGUGGGUAAUGGAAAAGCCUUUGGAGUCAGAUGUAAAUCCAUGACUUGACCACUUAUUGCUGUGAGACCCUGGACAGCUGGAUAUAGAGUUCUUGUUCUAGCAUCCGCCCUGGGAAUCCCCGGAACUGGGCCUCUUACCGACACCAUUGCCUGUAAUCCACAAACCUAGGAGUUACUCCAGUUACUGUCCUACUGAAGGACCCCCAUCCCAUCUGGGCUACUAUAACCACAUGGACCAUCCCUUGCUUCAAUCAUAGAAUUCUUUCUUCAGAUCAAAGUAUAUUCAGACACUCGAUACAGUAACAAAAGCAAGCUAUCCUGGAAGGAAGAAGGAAUCAGGAGGCAGAGCACAUGGUUAAAGCAUGAGAUGUGAAACCAGGAAGAACCAGGUCUGAACCUUAGCUCCACCAGUGGUAGCUUCAAACCUUGGUCCUUUCUGAGCCUGCUUCUUCAACCGUAAGGUGUGACUACACUGAGCAGUAACAGCAAAACCUGAAAGAGAAUGGAUACAGGUGUUCAUUUCAGAUGGUACAAGUUUAACAAAGUACAAGAGCAACUUAAGGGAACGCUACACUUCCUUAGAAAUUAAGAGUGUGUGCUACACUGCUUUACCAGAGCAAGGCCAAAAGCAGCUUCAAUUAUGGUACAACUGUGUGAAGACACAAUGCAAAACCACUCAAGAAUGCUCACUCAAAUGGAUUUUUACCAUGGAACUCGGAAACGGGACCCAGAAAGUUGUUUUCUCAAGUGGAUGGAACAACACAAGCAAUCACUGCAGUUUACUGACAAGAUCAAAGAUGGUAGUAUAUCUCUGGUUUAUAGAAGAAAUUUACAUUUCUCUAAAAGCUUUUGAUAAACUUAACAAUUCAAAAGAAA